UACGUAGGGUGCAAGCGUUGUCCGGAAUUAUUGGGCGUAAAGAGCUCGUAGGCGGCCUGUCGCGUCGGCUGUGAAAACCUGGGGCUCAACCCCGGGCCUGCAGCCGAUACGGGCAAACUAGAAUUCGGUAGGGGAGACUGGAAUUCCUGGUGUAGCGGUGAAAUGCGCAGAUAUCAGGAGGAACACCGGUGGCGAAGGCGGGUCUCUGGGCCGAUAUUGACGCUGAGGAGCGAAAGCGUGGGGAGCGAACAGG
RNAcentral lists this ribosomal RNA (253 nucleotides) under uncultured bacterium. Its description in RNAcentral is "partial 16S ribosomal RNA". It matches the Rfam family "Bacterial small subunit ribosomal RNA", at positions 524 to 776 of the family's 1533-position model. The record is from RNAcentral.